AUCUUCUCAUUGAGCUCCUUUCUGUCGGCUGGUGGCAGAUUAUGGAUUCGCACGAGAAGAAGAGAAAGUUCACAGAACUAGCACUUAGCUUCUGUUUUUAUAAACAGAGGUAUAUUUGGCUGUUGUGUGAGACAUUC
RNAcentral lists this small nucleolar RNA (137 nucleotides) under Peromyscus maniculatus bairdii (prairie deer mouse). RNAcentral's name for it is "Small nucleolar RNA SNORA75 (ENSPEMG00000004145.2)". It matches the Rfam family "Small nucleolar RNA SNORA75". Rfam says of the family: U23 belongs to the H/ACA class of snoRNAs. snoRNAs bind a number of proteins (including dyskerin, Gar1p and Nop10p in the case of the H/ACA class) to form snoRNP complexes. This class are thought to guide the sites of modification of uridines to pseudouridines by forming direct base pairing interactions with substrate RNAs. Targets include ribosomal and spliceosomal RNAs as well as the Trypanosoma spliced leader RNA (SL RNA) as possibly other, still unknown cellular RNAs. Lineage: Eukaryota; Metazoa; Chordata; Mammalia; Rodentia; Cricetidae. The record is from Rfam by way of RNAcentral.